CGGAAUUUCCACUUUCGUUUUGGAACCAGGAAGGUUUUGGCCGUAUGACGAUGACAUGGAAUAAUGAAUAGUUUUAAAAGUGUUCCCAUUGUUAUCUUUAAGAGCUAUGGGAAACACAACAGCUAGCAGUUCUUCAGAUGAGCCAUCUACCACUCCUGUCACAGUCAGGAUAGUAAGGAAAGCUAUGUCAUCAGCAAACUCUAGCUCCACCAGAAAGUUCAGGACAAUUGGCAAUAUUAAAGUCAGCGUAAUAAAUGAAAGUUUUGCUCAGCAGAAGGCAGAUGUCAUUGUGAACUGUGCCUCAGCUGACCUUGACCUCUCCAGAGGUCGUGGUUCUAAAGCCCUUGCUCAGACUGCAGGACCAGAUGUACAGGCAGAUUUGAAGAACAACUACAGCACAAACAUCAGUGAAGGUGACGUGGCAGUUUCUGUCCCUGGCAAUCUGAAGUGUCGUAAGGUCUACCAUGUGUACCUAACAAAAUGGAAUCAAGACACACAGGGUCUGCUGAAGGUCAUAACCAACUGUUUAUUGCUGGCAGACAAGUUCAAAGUCCAAAGCAUUGUGUUUCCCAGUCUUGGGACGGGUUACCUUGGUUACCCACACAGUGAGGUAACCAAAACAGCCUUGGCAGCUAUAGAAGCAUUCACCCAGACACAUGGCUCCUCGUCAAUUGAUACCAUCAUAUUUUCUGUAUAUGACCUUCCUUCCUACAAGGUGUUUUUUCAAGAAAUCAGAAAAUACAAUCCUGGAUCCAGUUCCUCAGGUCAACAGUCUGCAGCAUCAGCAACAGGGAACAGUACUAGCACCUGUGUGUCUGUGCAGAUUGGUUCAACUGUUGUAGAUGUUGUGAUGGGGGCACUACCACAACAACAGGUGGAUGUUAUAGUGAAUAGUGCACCAUUUGACCUUGACCUGUCAAAUGGGGGCCUGUCUGAGGCCCUGCUCAAGGUCGCGGGUCAAGGCCUCCAGGAAGAGUGCAUUGAACAUUACCCCAAUGGCAUCUCAACUGGAGAGAUACUGACCACUAAAGGGUAUGACUUACCUUGUAGUUAUGUCUACCAUGGAUGUCUUCCGGACUGGUCAAAAACUGACCAUACAGAUGCAAAAGAGAACCUGUAUGCAUUUAUGAUGGGCUGUUUGGAAAUAGCCACCAGCUACUGUGUGAAUUCCAUUGCCUUUCCAACUCUAGGCAGUGGAAGUCUGAGGUUUCCGGCUGAUGUGGUCGCAGAUAGCAUGAUCAAGUGUGUAAAGGAGUUUACUGAUGAUAAUCCACAAACUUCACUGACUGAAAUCCGAAUAGUGAUCUACAACCAAGCAGCCAGACCUGGAGCUUUACAAGCGGCUUUCAAAAAGGCAUGUGACCCCUACAUGUCAUCAGCUUCAGUUUCUCCUCCAACACCCCAUCCUAGGCAUCAAGUUGAAGCUUCUUCUACUGCUGCAGGAACCACAGCAACUCCACCACCACUACCAAAGAAGCGUGGACCUCCACCAAAAGAUACACAGGCGUAUUUCAACUACAUGUACGAGCAAUCACCAGUGUCUCCAUCUUACUGGACUAAAUACGACAACAGUAAACCCCUUAAGAUGUGGAACUUGACAGUCGCUCCUACCACUUCCAGCCAUGCAGUUUAUUUACCUGUUGAUAGAAGCACAUUCAAAUCUAUAGAAAAUGUUGUGAAAAAAUCCUGGGAUGCAGCACAUUUUGGACAUGGAAAUGAUGCACAGGGUUUGUCCCAGCUUGGAUACAGCAAUAUUCAAGUUACAAAAAUUGAGCGUAUAGAAAAUCCAGUUCUGUUUGAAAAAUAUGCACAAAAUCGGGCACAUUUCUUUCGCAGGGCUGCUGGAUUUGGAAAACCAUUGACUCCAGUGGGGCAAAUAUCUGCAGGAUCAAAAAGGCCUUUACUAACAACACAGCUGUGUGAUGCUAACCUCAGGCGGGAUAUCUACCCGGAGAUUAACGAGCAUUACACAUUUCAUGGUACACCUGAAGAUAGAGUAGCAGUCAUCACCGCACAGGGGCUUGACAACAGGUUGGCUGGAAAUACUGUCAUUGGCCAGGGGGUGUACACGGCUGAGAGCUCCACUAAGUCUGACCAGUAUGCAGAUUGUGUUGGGAGGCGUGACAAGACGAAGGAUAAAAAGAUGUUCCUGACCCGGAUGUGCCUUGGAGAUCCCUUUAUUUUGAAUAAAAAACCAACAUCAGUUUUCAAACGUCCUCCAUGUAAAACAUGCAAGAAGGACAUUUGUGCUGAUCUGUCACACGCUGGAAAUUUUGAUUCUAUUCUUGUUGAGGACUUCUGGAUCUUUCGAGAAUUUAUUGUGUUUGAAAAAGACCGGUGUUAUCCAGAAUAUCUGAUAACCUAUAAAAGAGUGUAAUGAAAGAUUGUUAAUUUACAACAAUAACUUCCAACUAUUUAAGUUUGAUUAAUGAGGAGACUUGAUUGUUAAUUCUCACUACAGGUAUUUGUUACAAUCAAGUUUUGUUUUCCCAGCUACCAAUUGGCCGAAAUUUCUUUUAUAAAAAAACUUUUCCUAGUUGCUCUAGUCAUCUCAUAAUCAAGCUGCAUUCACCGGUAAUGCAGGUAGCUGGGUUAUCUACUGGAAACAGAUGGUUAGAUUAUCUGUUGGAAAUAGGUGGCUUGAUUAUCUACUGGGAACAGAGGUAGCUGGAUUAUCUAUUGGGAACAGAGGUAGCUUGAUUAUCUACUGGGAACAGAGGUAGCUGGAUUAUCUACUGGGAACAGAGGUAGCUUGAUUAUCUACUGGGAACAGAGGUAGCUUGAUUAUCUACUGGGAACAGAGGUAGCUGGAUUAUCUAUUGGGAACAGAGGUAGCUUGGUUAUCUAUUGGGAACAGAGGUAGCUUGAUUAUCUACUGGGAACAGAGGUAGUUGGAUUAUCUAUUGGGAACGGAGGUAGCUUGAUUAUCUACUGGGAACAGAGGUAGCUUGAUUAUCUACUGGGAACAGAGGUAGCUGGAUUAUCUACUGGGAACAGAGGUAGCUGGAUUAUUUAUUGGGAACAGAGGUAGCUGGAGUAUAUACUGAAAACAGAAAUGGAUGAAUUAUUUCAGCUCCACAGAUAAAUUGCCCCGUAAAUAAAGUGCUAUUUAUAAUAUCCACAUGUAGUACUGUGCAUCGUGUAAUGUCCUUUUUAUGAAUUCAUACUGAAUUCUUUGGUGCACUUUUUAUGAAAAUCAGUACCAAGUACCUGUAAAAAAACAACGUUUAUUUACUGCAUUAGAAAGUCAUACUGAAAACAGGUUGUCAACCAUAUAUUUGUGUUGUGAAAUUGAUCACUGAGUUUCAGUGUUGCUAUAGAGGAAACUGUUCUUGUUUUUUCACAUGCUUUAUAUUAUUUUUUCAGAAAACGUGUUAAUAACUUUACUUUAUUUGGAGAAAAUAAUGUACAUGUACAUGCAUACCCCCAGGUUAACUAAGUAAGAUACCUGGUAAGUUAAAACACUUUCUUCAAGCAAUUUUAUUAUAUACAUGUACAUAUAUAUUCAUGUGUAGAUAUCAUUAUCAGAGGAAAAGAUAAAGGGGAUAAUUUUCACCGAGUUAUUUUUACAAAGGGGAACAAUCCAUUGACAUCGCUAGCUUUUAGGUAGCUAGUGAUAGGUAAUAUGGGCUGAUAAAACCGGUCUUCAACUUAAGUUUCCAAAUUCAUUUGGAAGAAAAAUCAGACCGGUUAUGUCAGCCUAUAUAAGCUUCCUAAAACCAAUGUAACAAAUCCCUCAUUACUGCAAAUUCCAGCAACAAUUUUAAGUAAAAUAUGGAUUUUUUUUAAUUAUGAGACAAAUCUAUUCAUUAUUUUCCGUAGCACAUGAACUUCCGUCUUGUCACAUUAAAAUGUAUAUUCUGUCUGAGAUGAGUGCGGCAAGUUUUUUUUUUAGGACAGAGAUUGACAUGUUUAUUCGCAGGAUGAUAUAUACAGGGUGAGUGGCAUUUUUUACAGGUGGAUAUAUAUACAUGACGUGUGGCAUUUUAUACAGGUGGUUAUUUCAUCAUCUACUGUCUCUGACAAAGUUUUCGGAGAGAAUUAAGAACACAUGCAGUAUACAUGCCAAUCUUUCAGACUGAAUUACAAGAUCUCAAAAUAUCUAAAAGUAUUGACAAUAACCGUUAUUACACAAAAUAAAAGUGUAACAUGACAUAGCUAUUCUAUGCAAUGACCUAAUGGAAAUGAGCAGAUUUCAAAGUAAGACAAAACUGUGUAUGAUACAUGUAGUCUAAUUAUAUAUAUAGAUAAUCUGCCUCCAAAAUAGGAAGACUUGGCAAGUAUAUAAUACACAUGAUGUAAUAUUUAGCAUCCAAACUCCACUUGGCAAUAAAUGUACAGCGUACAAA
Mizuhopecten yessoensis (Yesso scallop) is the source of this 4349-nucleotide RNA transcript. It is a transcript of the gene named poly [ADP-ribose] polymerase 14-like, with no coding region annotated. The transcript has 13 exons. The record is from RefSeq and is a predicted model, not a curated record. NCBI's taxonomy places the organism in Eukaryota, Metazoa, Mollusca, Bivalvia, Pectinida, Pectinidae.